Molecule: ribosomal RNA, 558 nt
Filed under: uncultured eukaryote
Lineage: Eukaryota
Description: SSU rRNA
Rfam family: Eukaryotic small subunit ribosomal RNA
Source: RNAcentral
CUGGUUGAUCCUGCCAGUAGUCAUAUGCCUGUCUCAAAGGUUAAGCCAUGCAUGUCUAAGUAUAAGCAAUUUAUACAGUGAAACUGCGAAUGGCUCAUUAAAUCAGUUAUCGUUUAUUUGAUAGUACCUUACUACUUGGAUAACCGUGGUAAUUCUAGAGCUAAUACAUGCUUAAAAUCCCGACUGUUUGGAAGGGAUGUAUUUAUUAGAUAAAAAAUCAAUGUCUUCGGACUCUUUGAUGAUUCAUAAUAACUUUUCGAAUCGCAUGGCCUUGUGCUGGCGAUGAUUCAUUCAAAUUUCUGCCCUAUCAACUUUCGAUGGUAGGAUAGUGGCCUACCAUGGUUUCAACGGGUAACGGGGAAUAAGGGUUCGAUUCCGGAGAGGGAGCCUGAGAAACGACUACCACAUCCAAGGAAGGCAGCAGGCGCGCAAAUUACCCAAUCCCGACACGGGGAGGUAGUGACAAUAAAUAACGAUACAGGGCCCUUUCGGGUCUUGUAAUUGGAAUGAGUACAAUGUAAAUACCUUAACGAGGAACAAUUGGAGGGCAAGUCUGGU